AAGAAGAAGAAGAAGAAAGAAAUUAUGCUUCACUAGUAUAUAACAGUCCUGGCUAUAAAAGAAAAUCAUGCAGAUAUUAGUUCAAGUUAUCCAAAGCUUUAAUGUCAAUACGUGUAGACUGCUCCAAAGUUGCACCAUUUUUUGAGAAGCACUUACAUAUUUCUUUCCUUAAAUGAUACUAUCUUAACUGAAACCGUACAACAGGUUAGAUACCAAUCAAUUUGU
Molecule: unclassified non-coding RNA, 225 nt
Filed under: Hevea brasiliensis (rubber tree)
Lineage: Eukaryota; Viridiplantae; Streptophyta; Magnoliopsida; Malpighiales; Euphorbiaceae
Source: RNAcentral